RNAcentral lists this ribosomal RNA (1321 nucleotides) under Phonognatha melania. Its description in RNAcentral is "SSU rRNA". It matches the Rfam family "Eukaryotic small subunit ribosomal RNA", at positions 63 to 1383 of the family's 1831-position model. Lineage: Eukaryota; Metazoa; Arthropoda; Arachnida; Araneae; Araneidae. The record is from RNAcentral.
GUUCAUGCCGUAUUAAGGCGAAACCGCGAAUGGCUCAUUAAAUCAGUUAUGGUUCCUUGGAUCGUACUUUCCUACUUGGAUAACUGUGGCAAUUCUAGAGCUAAUACAUGCAGCAGAGCUCCGACCGUAAGGGACGAGCGCUUUUAUUAGACCAAAACCAAUCGGACCUCGUGUCCGUUUCUUGUGGUGACUCUGAGUAACUUUGGGCUGAUCGCACGGGCUCGUCCCGGCGACGUAUCUUUCAAGUGUCUGCCUUAUCAACUGUCGAUGGUAGGUUACGCGCCUACCAUGGUCGUAACGGGUGACGGGGAAUCAGGGUUCGAUUCCGGAGAGGGAGCCUGAGAAACGGCUACCACAUCCAAGGAAGGCAGCAGGCGCGCAAAUUACCCACUCCCGGAACGGGGAGGUAGUGACGAAAAAUAACAAUACGGGACUCUUUUGAGACCCCGUAAUUGGAAUGAGUACACUCUAAAUCCUUUAACGAGGAUCCAUUGGAGGGCAAGUCUGGUGCCAGCAGCUGCGGUAAUUCCAGCUCCAAUAGCGUAUAUUAAAGUUGUUGCGGUUAAAAAGCUCGUAGUUGGAUCUCAGCUCGAGACGGAGGGUCCGCCUACCGGUGGUUACUUUCUGUUCUCAGCAUUCCGCCGGUUUCUCUUGAUGAUCUUCACCGGUUGUCUUGGGUGACCGGCAAGUUUACUUUGAAAAAAUUAGGGUGCUCAAAGCGGGCGCGACGCCUGAAUAAUGGUGCAUGGAAUAAUGGAAUAGGACCUCGGUUCUAUUUUGUUGGUUUUCGGAACACGAGGUAAUGAUUAAGAGGGACAGACGGGGGCAUUCGUAUUGCGACGCUAGAGGUGAAAUUCUUGGACCGUCGCAAGACGAACUACUGCGAAAGCAUUUGCCAAGAAUGUUUCCAUUAAUCAAGAACGAAAGUUAGAGGCUCGAAGGCGAUCAGAUACCGCCCUAGUUCUAACCAUAAACGAUGCCAGCCAGCGAUCCGGCUGUGUUCCUCAAAUGACACGCCGGGCAGCUUCCGGGAAGCCAAAGCUUUUGGGUUCCGGGGGAAGUAUGGUUGCAAAGCUGAAACUUAAAGGAAUUGACGGAAGGGCACCACCAGAAAUGGAGCCUGCGGCUUAAUUUGACUCAACGCGGGUGAACCUACCCGGCCCGGACACAGGAAGGAUUGACAGAUUAAGAGCUCUUUCUUGAUUCUGUGGGUGGUGGUGCAUGGCCGUUCUUAGUUGGUGGGGCGACUUGUCUGGUUAAUUCCGAUAACGAACGAGACUCUAGCCUACUAAAUAGACGCUCCGAUCCUUCGAGUCGGACG